AUGCCAGGGGCCGCACAGCCCCGGCUCCCCAGGCACAGCCUGCUCUCGGGGACUCCCCCGUCACCGGUGUCACUGGGGCGUCCAGCGCAGCGUGGUGCCGGGACAGGGUCCGGUAGCAGCCCCGGCGAGGAACAUCUCCUCUUAUCCACCAAGAUAAUAAAUUCUGCCUCGGAGUUUCUCACCUGGCAACAGUCACCAAGGAAACCCGGACGGCUCCCGUUGGGUCCCCGUUGGCGCUGCCCGGGGGUGUCCCCGAGCCGCGGGGCGUGCAGGGAGAGGGGACGCGCGUGUCCCUCUGCCACCCGAGGCGCCGGGUGCGCAGGCGGGCACCCUGCCAGCCGCCCGCUCUGUAACAUGAGCCCCGGCGCUCCGAGCCAAGUCCCGGGCGGGAGCAAACCGCCCAUCGACGAGGGCUUGGCCCUCUCUCGUCUUUCUAGAGCUGAGUGCAGGUUUCGCUGUUUUUGGGGGUGUUUGUUUUUUUUUUUUCUUUUUUUUUUUUUGAGGUUUUCCUGGCUGCGGGCGCGUCAGGAGGGGUGGCUUUGUUGCUGCCUGGGGGUUCUCCCAGUCCUCGCAGCCAGGAAUUUCGGACACGGGCGUUACAACAGCAGAGGCCUCUCAAAAUCUGCUGGUGCGGGGAGGGGGACCCGCUCUGCUGUCCCUUGGGAGGCCGUGCAGCUGUCUGCCACAUUGCACUCCUCUAUUUAUAGCACCCGUGGUCGUGCCUCUUCCUGCCACCUGGCCCGGCUGUCACCUGGCAAGUGCCAUCCCCAGGCACCGAGCGGUGCUGCCAUCUCCAGCGUGCCCGUGCGCUACGGGUGCAGCCAGUUCUGCAAAAGGCUUCCCAGCCCCGUGCUGCCUGCAGAAGCUGGCACUGCCCCUGGCACUGGUGAGGCCAUUGGCACAGGAGCAGCAGGGAAAGGCUGGGGACCGGGGGACGCGGUCACCGCUGGGCCCUGGGAAGUGGAGCAGGGCAGUGGCAGAGGUGCUGACCCACCCCGCAGCACCUCCGUGUAG
RNAcentral lists this long non-coding RNA (1014 nucleotides) under Anser cygnoides (Swan goose). RNAcentral describes it as "lncRNA (ENSACDG00005001924.1)". Lineage: Eukaryota; Metazoa; Chordata; Aves; Anseriformes; Anatidae. The record is from RNAcentral.